GAUGAACGCUGACAGAAUGCUUAACACAUGCAAGUCCACUUGAACUUCGGUUUGGGUGGCGGACGGGUGAGUAACGCGUAAAGAACUUGCCUCACAGUUAGGGACAACAUUUGGAAACGAAUGCUAAUACCUGAUAUUAUGAUUUUAGGGCAUCCUAGAAUUAUGAAAGCUAUAUGCGCUGUGAGAGAGCUUUGCGUCCCAUUAGCUAGUUGGAGAGGUAACGGCUCACCAAGGCGAUGAUGGGUAGCCGGCCUGAGAGGGUGAACGGCCACAAGGGGAAUGAGACACGGCCCUUACUCCUACGGGAGGCAGCAGUGGGGAAUAUUGGACAAUGGACCAAGAGUCUGAUCCAGCAAUUCUGUGUGAACGAUGAAGUUUUUCGGAAUGUAAAGUGCUUUCAGUUGGGAAGAAAAAAAUGACGGUACCAACAGAAGAAGUGACGGCUAAAUACGUG
RNAcentral lists this ribosomal RNA (454 nucleotides) under uncultured bacterium. RNAcentral's name for it is "partial 16S ribosomal RNA". It matches the Rfam family "Bacterial small subunit ribosomal RNA", at positions 28 to 507 of the family's 1533-position model. The record is from RNAcentral.